Molecule: ribosomal RNA, 585 nt
Filed under: uncultured beta proteobacterium
Lineage: Bacteria; Pseudomonadati; Pseudomonadota; Betaproteobacteria
Description: bacterial SSU rRNA
Rfam family: Bacterial small subunit ribosomal RNA
Source: RNAcentral
CCUACGGGAGGCAGCAGUGGGGAAUUUUGGACAAUGGGCGCAAGCCUGAUCCAGCAAUGCCGCGUGAGUGAAGAAGGCCUUCGGGUUGUAAAGCUCUUUUGUCAGGGAAGAAACGGCAGGAGCUAAUAUCUCUUGCUAAUGACGGUACCUGAAGAAUAAGCACCGGCUAACUACGUGCCAGCAGCCGCGGUAAUACGUAGGGUGCAAGCGUUAAUCGGAAUUACUGGGCGUAAAGCGUGCGCAGGCGGUUUUGUAAGUCUGUCGUGAAAGCCCCGGGCUCAACCUGGGAAUUGCGAUGGAGACUGCAAGGCUUGAAUCUGGCAGAGGGGGGUAGAAUUCCACGUGUAGCAGUGAAAUGCGUAGAGAUGUGGAGGAACACCGAUGGCGCAGGCAGCCCCCUGGGUCAAGAUUGACGCUCAUGCACGAAAGCGUGGGGAGCAAACAGGAUUAGAUACCCUGGUAGUCCACGCCCUAAACGAUGUCUACUAGUUGUCGGGUUUUAAUUAACUUGGUAACGCAGCUAACGCGUGAAGUAGACCGCCUGGGGAGUACGGUCGCAAGAUUAAAACUCAAAGGAAUUGACGG